RNAcentral lists this ribosomal RNA (408 nucleotides) under Triticum aestivum (bread wheat). RNAcentral's name for it is "partial small subunit ribosomal RNA". Lineage: Eukaryota; Viridiplantae; Streptophyta; Magnoliopsida; Poales; Poaceae. The record is from RNAcentral.
AUGUCUUCGGACGCUGGUAACCUCAACUCACUCUCCUCCAAUCCUCCUCAUAAGCAUGUUAUUGUUGGUGACGGUUCCUCUAUCCCUGUCACCAACUCCGGUCAUGUUUUCCUUCCUACUUCUGAUUCCACUCGUAGUCUGACUCUUCGUGAUGUCCUUGUUACUCCAUGUAUUGUAAAGAAUCUAAUUUCUGUUCGGCAAUUUACCACUGAUAAUCUCUGUUCGGUUGAAUUUGACCCUUGGGGUUUUUCUGUGAAGGAUCUCAAGACAGGGGCCGUGAUUCUCAGGUGCAGUAGCACGGGUGAUCUUUAUCCGCUCACCUCCACGUCGACACCAUCGCCUCUCCAUCGCCGAUUCCCAAGUCUGUUCGGGGUGCUCUUAAGGACCCAAACUGGCUCGCCGCCAUGA